GUCGAGCGAACAGAUAAGGAGCUUGCUCCUUUGACGUUAGCGGCGGACGGGUGAGUAACACGUGGAUAACCUACCUAUAAGACUGGGAUAACUUCGGGAAACCGGAGCUAAUACCGGAUAACAUAUUGAACCGCAUGGUUCAAUAGUGAAAGGCGGCUUUGCUGUCACUUAUAGAUGGAUCCGCGCCGUAUUAGCUAGUUGGUAAGGUAACGGCUUACCAAGGCAACGAUACGUAGCCGACCUGAGAGGGUGAUCGGCCACACUGGAACUGAGACACGGUCCAGACUCCUACGGGAGGCAGCAGUAGGGAAUCUUCCGCAAUGGGCGAAAGCCUGACGGAGCAACGCCGCGUGAGUGAUGAAGGUCUUCGGAUCGUAAAACUCUGUUAUCAGGGAAGAACAAAUGUGUAAGUAACUGUGCACAUCUUGACGGUACCUGAUCAGAAAGCCACGGCUAACUACGUGCCAGCAGCCGCGGUAAUACGUAGGUGGCAAGCGUUAUCCGGAAUUAUUGGGCGUAAAGCGCGCGUAGGCGGUUUUUUAAGUCUGAUGUGAAAGCCCACGGCUCAACCGUGGAGGGUCAUUGGAAACUGGAAAACUUGAGUGCAGAAGAGGAAAGUGGAAUUCCAUGUGUAGCGGUGAAAUGCGCAGAGAUAUGGAGGAACACCAGUGGCGAAGGCGACUUUCUGGUCUGUAACUGACGCUGAUGUGCGAAAGCGUGGGGAUCAAACAGGAUUAGAUACCCUGGUAGUCCACGCCGUAAACGAUGAGUGCUAAGUGUUAGGGGGUUUCCGCCCCUUAGUGCUGCAGCUAACGCAUUAAGCACUCCGCCUGGGGAGUACGACCGCAAGGUUGAAACUCAAAGGAAUUGACGGGGACCCGCACAAGCGGUGGAGCAUGUGGUUUAAUUCGAAGCAACGCGAAGAACCUUACCAAAUCUUGACAUCCUUUGACCGCUCUAGAGAUAGAGUCUUCCCCUUCGGGGGACAAAGUGACAGGUGGUGCAUGGUUGUCGUCAGCUCGUGUCGUGAGAUGUUGGGUUAAGUCCCGCAACGAGCGCAACCCUUAAGCUUAUUUGCCAUCAUUAAGUUGGGCACUCUAAGG
RNAcentral lists this ribosomal RNA (1103 nucleotides) under bacterium. Its description in RNAcentral is "bacterial SSU rRNA". It matches the Rfam family "Bacterial small subunit ribosomal RNA", at positions 61 to 1145 of the family's 1533-position model. The record is from RNAcentral.